Molecule: ribosomal RNA, 492 nt
Filed under: uncultured bacterium
Lineage: Bacteria
Description: partial 16S ribosomal RNA
Rfam family: Bacterial small subunit ribosomal RNA
Source: RNAcentral
AGUGAACGCUGGCGGUAGGCCUAACACAUGCAAGUCGAACGGCAGCACAGUAAGAGCUUGCUCUUACGGGUGGCGAGUGGCGGACGGGUGAGGAAUACAUCGGAAUCUACUUUUUCGUGGGGGAUAACGUAGGGAAACUUACGCUAAUACCGCAUACGACCUACGGGUGAAAGCAGGGGAUCUUCGGACCUUGCGCGAUUGAAUGAGCCGAUGUCGGAUUAGCUAGUUGGCGGGGUAAAGGCCCACCAAGGCGACGAUCCGUAGCUGGUCUGAGAGGAUGAUCAGCCACACUGGAACUGAGACACGUUCCUGACUCCUACGGGAGGCAGCAGUGGGGAAUAUUGGACAAUGGGCGCAAGCCUGAUCCAGCCAUACCGCGUGGGUGAAGAAGGCCUUCGGGUUGUAAAGCCCUUUUGUUGGGAAAGAAAAGCAGCAGGUUAAUACCCCGCUGUUCUGACGGUACCCAAAGAAUAACCACCGGCUAACUUCGUG